Molecule: ribosomal RNA, 253 nt
Filed under: uncultured bacterium
Lineage: Bacteria
Description: partial 16S ribosomal RNA
Rfam family: Bacterial small subunit ribosomal RNA
Source: RNAcentral
UACGGGGGGGGCAAGCGUUGUUCGGAAUUACUGGGCGUAAAGGGUUUGUAGGUGGCUUGCUAAGUCAGACGUGAAAUCCCUCAGCUUAACUGGGGAACUGCGUCUGAUACUGGUGAGCUUGAGUGCAGGAGAGGAACGCGGAAUUCCAGGUGUAGCGGUGAAAUGCGUAGAUAUCUGGAGGAACACCGGUGGCGAAGGCGGCGUUCUGGACUGCAACUGACGCUGAUAAACGAAAGCCAGGGUAGCAAACGGG